CACUUUUAAGAUCGGUUACCUUGUAACCGAUCUUAAAAGUUGUGUCAGACAUACAUUUUAAGAUCGGUCAUAAAAUAAUCGAUCUUAAAAGUA
RNAcentral lists this microRNA precursor (93 nucleotides) under Cajanus cajan (pigeon pea). RNAcentral describes it as "miRNA gene-KK1_046041". The record is from RNAcentral. Lineage: Eukaryota; Viridiplantae; Streptophyta; Magnoliopsida; Fabales; Fabaceae.